GAUGAACGCUGGCGGCGUGCUUAACACAUGCCAGUCGAACGAGAAGUGAAGACGGAAACCUUCGGGCGGAAGGCUUUAUUUCGAGUGGCGGACGGGUGAGUAACGCGUGGGUAACCUGCCUCAUACAGGGGGAUAACAGUUGGAAACGACUGUUAAUACCGCAUAAGACCACCGCACCGCAUGGUGCGGGGGUAAAAACUCCGGUGGUAUGAGAUGGACCCGCGUUCGAUUAGCCAGUUGGCGGGGUAACGGCCCACCAAAGCGACGAUCGAUAGCCGAUCUGAGAGGAUGACCGGCCACAUUGGGACUGAGACACGGCCCAAACUCCUACGGGAGGCAGCAGUGGGGAAUAUUGCACAAUGGGGGAAACCCUGAUGCAGCGACGCCGCGUGAGUGAAGAAGUAUUUCGGUAUGUAAAGCUCUAUCAGCAGGGAAGAAAAUGACGGUACCUGAGUAAGAAGCCCCGGCUAACUACGUG
RNAcentral lists this ribosomal RNA (478 nucleotides) under uncultured bacterium. RNAcentral describes it as "partial 16S ribosomal RNA". It matches the Rfam family "Bacterial small subunit ribosomal RNA", at positions 28 to 507 of the family's 1533-position model. The record is from RNAcentral.